GCCAGGAUGUCUAGCUGACAUUCUGCUGGCCUGCCUGCUCAUUUCUUUGUGCUUUCAUCACCCAUGAAUCCACAGGACAGAAGGCCAAACGCAGCGAAAAAUCAAAAGACAAGGCCCAGAACAGCAUGAUAUACCUGGGGGAUCUACCAGAGAGGCAAUGCAUAUUUCAAGAACACAGUGCUGUGGGCAUUCAGCUUGGAGAGUUCUCCGGUUUCCAGACCAAAAGCUGCAGUCUAUUAAGCCUAUAGAAGCAGAAAUUUGCCUUGCCAGGUGCAAACUUGUUGUCUGCAGAGACCGAGAGCCAAGAGUCUUCGACGCUGCUUCUGGGUAUGACACGUGACUUCAGGCAAGGGGGGGUUGGUAUUUUCUGGGAUUUUUGUUGUUGUUAUUUUCUC
Molecule: long non-coding RNA, 395 nt
Filed under: Phasianus colchicus (ring-necked pheasant)
Lineage: Eukaryota; Metazoa; Chordata; Aves; Galliformes; Phasianidae
Description: lncRNA (ENSPCLG00000021058.1)
Source: RNAcentral